This 840-nucleotide ribosomal RNA is filed under the name uncultured bacterium. RNAcentral's name for it is "bacterial SSU rRNA". It matches the Rfam family "Bacterial small subunit ribosomal RNA", at positions 61 to 899 of the family's 1533-position model. The record is from RNAcentral.
GCCGAGCGGUAUUUCUUCUUCGGGAGAGAGAGAGCGGCGUACGGGUGCGGACCAUUUGUGCCACCUGCCUUUAUCUAGAGGAUAGCCUUUCGAAAGGAAUAUUAAUACUCUAUAAUAUAUUAAUUGGCAUCAAUUGAUAUUGAAAACUCCGGUGGAUAGAGAUGGGCACGCGCAGGAUUAGCUAGUUGGUGAGGUAACGGCUCACCAAGGCAAUGAUCUUUAGGGGGCCUGAGAGGGUGAUCCCCCACACUGGUACUGAGACACGGACCAGACUCCUACGGGAGGCAGCAGUGAGGAAUAUUGGUCAAUGGGUGCAAGCCUGAACCAGCCAUCCCGCGUGAAGGAUUAAGGUCAACCUAUGGAUUGUAAACUUCUUUUGUAUAGGGAUAAACCUACCCUCGUGAGGGUAGCUGAAGGUACUAUACGAAUAAGCACCGGCUAACUCCGUGCCAGCAGCCGCGGUAAUACGGAGGGUGCAAGCGUUAUCCGGAUUUAUUGGGUUUAAAGGACGUCCGUAGGCGGACUUAUAAGUCAGUGGUGAAAGCCUGUCGCUUAACGAUAGAACUGCCAUUGAUACUGUAAGUCUUGAGUAUAUUUGAGGUAGCUGGAAUAAGUAGUGUAGCGGUGAAAUGCAUAGAUAUUACUUAGAACACCAAUUGCGAAGGCAGGUUACCAAGAUAUAACUGACGCUGAGGGACGAAAGCGAGGGGAGCGAACAGGAAUAGAUACCCUGGUAGUCCACGCCGUAAACGAUGCUAACUCGUUUUUGGGACUUCCGUAUCAGAAACCCAGCCAAAAUGGAAAGUUAGGCCCCUGGGGAGGACGCUCCCAAGAAUGGAA